RNAcentral lists this ribosomal RNA (538 nucleotides) under Fusarium oxysporum. RNAcentral's name for it is "eukaryotic LSU rRNA". The stretch from base 171 to 324 matches the Rfam family "5.8S ribosomal RNA". Lineage: Eukaryota; Fungi; Ascomycota; Sordariomycetes; Hypocreales; Nectriaceae. The record is from RNAcentral.
CGAAAGCCGGCAGGGAUCAUUACCGAGUUUACAACUCCCAAACCCCUGUGAACAUACCACUUGUUGCCUCGGCGGAUCAGCCCGCUCCCGGUAAAACGGGACGGCCCGCCAGAGGACCCCUAAACUCUGUUUCUAUAUGUAACUUCUGAGUAAAACCAUAAAUAAAUCAAAACUUUCAACAACGGAUCUCUUGGUUCUGGCAUCGAUGAAGAACGCAGCAAAAUGCGAUAAGUAAUGUGAAUUGCAGAAUUCAGUGAAUCAUCGAAUCUUUGAACGCACAUUGCGCCCGCCAGUAUUCUGGCGGGCAUGCCUGUUCGAGCGUCAUUUCAACCCUCAAGCACAGCUUGGUGUUGGGACUCGCGUUAAUUCGCGUUCCUCAAAUUGAUUGGCGGUCACGUCGAGCUUCCAUAGCGUAGUAGUAAAACCCUCGUUACUGGUAAUCGUCGCGGCCACGCCGUUAAACCCCAACUUCUGAAUGUUGACCUCGGAUCAGGUAGGAAUACCCGCUGAACUUAAGCAUAUCAAUAAGCGGAGGAAA